This 231-nucleotide ribosomal RNA is filed under the name uncultured bacterium. RNAcentral's name for it is "partial 16S ribosomal RNA". It matches the Rfam family "Bacterial small subunit ribosomal RNA", at positions 15 to 229 of the family's 1533-position model. The record is from RNAcentral.
GAUCAUGGCUCAGGACGAACGCUGGCGGCGUGCUUAACACAUGCAAGUCGAGCGAGAAAUAUAUUUAUGAAGCUUCGGUAGAUUAGAUAUAUGGAAAGCGGCGGACGGGUGAGUAACGCGUAGGCAACCUGCCCCUUGCAGAGGGAUAGCCAUUGGAAACGAUGAUUAAAACCUCAUAACACCAAAGAGUCACAUGGCAUUUUGGUCAAAGAUUUAUCGGCAAGGGAUGGG